GCACUGCCGACGAGUCCCAAAUAGGACGAAACAGCUGUCCAGUGC
RNAcentral lists this non-coding RNA (45 nucleotides) under Echinostoma caproni. Lineage: Eukaryota; Metazoa; Platyhelminthes; Trematoda; Plagiorchiida; Echinostomatidae. The record is from RNAcentral.